This 784-nucleotide ribosomal RNA is filed under the name uncultured bacterium. Its description in RNAcentral is "bacterial SSU rRNA". It matches the Rfam family "Bacterial small subunit ribosomal RNA", at positions 8 to 796 of the family's 1533-position model. The record is from RNAcentral.
AGAGUUUGAUCCUGGCUCAGGACGAACGCUGGCGGCGUGCUUAACACAUGCAAGUCGAACGAUGAAGCCGGGGCUUUUUGUUUUGGUGGAUUAGUGGCGAACGGGUGAGUAAUACGUGAGUAACCUGCCCUUGUCUUUGGGGUAAGCCUGGGAAACUGGGUCUAAUACCGGAUAUUCUGCUUUUGCCGCAUGGUGGGGGUUGGAAAGAUUUUUUGGAUGGGGAUGGGCUCACGGCCUAUCAGCUUGUUGGUGGGGUGAUGGCCUACCAAGGCGUCGACGGGAAGCCGGCCUGAGAGGGUGACCGGCCACAUUGGGACUGAGAUACGGCCCAGACUCCUACGGGAGGCAGCAGUGGGGAAUAUUGCACAAUGGACGCAAGUCUGAUGCAGCGACGCCGCGUGGGGGAUGAAGGCUUUCGGGUUGUAAACUCCUUUCAGUACAGAAGAAGCAUUUUUUGUGACGGUAUGUGCAGAAGAAGCGCCGGCUAACUACGUGCCAGCAGCCGCGGUAAUACGUAGGGCGCGAGCGUUGUCCGGAAUUAUUGGGCGUAAAGAGCUCGUAGGCGGUUUGUUGCGCCUGCUGUGAAAGACCGGGGCUUAACUUCGGGGUUGCAGUGGGUACGGGCAGACUAGAGUGUGGUAGGGGUAAUUGGAAUUCCUGGUGUAGCGGUGGAAUGCGCAGAUAUCAGGAGGAACACCGAUGGCGAAGGCAGGUUACUGGGCCAUUACUGACGCUGAGGAGCGAAAGCGUGGGUAGCGAACAGGAUUAGAUACCCUGGUAGUCC